UUUGGAGGCAGUUUCCUGAUGAAUGAUUACCGGCUCCAUUGGAUCUGUAUUUGCAUGCAAGAUGAAAAUGUCGAAGACAACCAGUGAACCUCAGUCCGUCUGUGAUCUGCAGUCUGCAAGGCCCGCCAAAUCAGACCCCUACAUAUCUCUGCUACCUCACCUUUAUCCCUCAAACCUACCAGAAUUUCAACUGAUGUCCUGCAGUUCUUCACUUCCAGAUUUGUGCUGCUUUUUGUAAAAUAAAACCAUCAAACUCACUGGUUCUCCAUGUGAUUCUGCA
Cyprinodon tularosa is the source of this 280-nucleotide long non-coding RNA. RefSeq lists it as uncharacterized. The record is from RefSeq and is a predicted model, not a curated record. The transcript has 3 exons. NCBI's taxonomy places the organism in Eukaryota, Metazoa, Chordata, Actinopteri, Cyprinodontiformes, Cyprinodontidae.